This is a long non-coding RNA of Ahaetulla prasina, 383 nucleotides long. RefSeq lists it as uncharacterized. The transcript is spliced from 3 exons. The record is from RefSeq and is a predicted model, not a curated record. NCBI's taxonomy places the organism in Eukaryota, Metazoa, Chordata, Lepidosauria, Squamata, Colubridae.
UGCGAGUGAAAGGUAACAAACUAAAUUUCUUCCUGCCUUAAAUCUGGAAUUGUUUUCAGGCAAGACUGAUAUUAAUAUUGAUGGAGGGAAAUGGGGAAACAACAAUAUUGCAGAAAUAAGAAAGAAGUGGCGUUAUUGAGUUAGACUUUCUUGAUCUUAUAAAAACCAAGACAUAAGAAUAUUGAUGCUUCCAGUCAAAAUAAUAAAAAAAUUAAUUACAGAAGUCAAACACCAUAGAAAACUUUAUUUUGUCAGUAAUGAUGAUCAUCUUUCAAAAAAAACAACUUUAGAUUUUGGAAGAUUUUAAGUGUAGCAAAGAGGAAAUAAGGAAAACGAUAUACUAAAGCAAUCAUGCAUAUAAAAAGAACUGAAAUGCUGCAAAG